AUGAUUCAGAACAUAAUAUGUUUCAGAAUGAUUCACAAUAUAUUUCAACCUGAUUUUCAUACUUGGUAUAAGGGAGGAAGGACUCUUACCAUGAUGUCUGUUGUGUUUCUGUGUUACUGGGCCAAGUCCCUACCUUACUGGGUUACUGGGCCAAGUCCCCACCUUACUGGGUUACUGGGUCAAGUCCCCACCUUACUGGGUUACUGGGUCAAGUCCCCACCUUACUGGGUUACUGGGUCAAGUCCCCACCUUACUGGGUUACUGGGACAAGUCCCCACCUUACUGGGUUACUGGGCCAAGUCCCCACCUUACUGGGUUACUGGGUUACUGGGCCAAGUCCCCACCUUAUGUGUUACUGGGUCAAGUCCCUACCUUACUGUGUUACUGGGUCAAGUUCCCACCUUACUGUGUUACAGGGUCAAGUCCCCACCUUACUUGGUUACUGGGUCAAGUCCCCACCUUACUGGGCUACUAGGUCAAGUCCCCACCUUACUUGGUUACUGGGUCAAGUCCCCACCUUACUGUGUUACUGGGUCAAGUCCCCACCUUACUGGGCUACUAGGUCAAGUCCCCACCUUACUUGGUUACUGGGUCAAGUCCCCACCUUACUGUGUUACUGGGUCAAGUCCCCACCUUACUGGGUUACUGGGCCAAGUCCCCACCUUACCAGGUUACUGGGUUAUUGGGCCAAGUCCCCACCUUACUGUGUUACUGGGUCAAGUCCCCACCUUACUGUGUUACUGGGUCAAGUCCCCACCUUACUGGGUUACUGGGACAAGUCCCCACCUUACUUGGUUAUUGGGCCAAGUCCCCACCUUACUGUGUUACUGGGUCAAGUCCCCACCUUACUGUGUUACUGGGUCAAGUCCCCACCUUACUGUGUUACUGGGUCAAGUCCCCACCUUACUGUGUUACUGGGUCAAGUCAACACCUUACUGUGUUACUGGGUCAAGUCCCCACCUUACUGUGUUACUGGGCCAAGUCCCCACCUUACUGUGUUACUGGGUCAAGUCCCCACCUUACUGUGUUACUGGGUCAAGUCCCCACCUUACUGUGUUACUGGGUCAAGUCCCCACCUUACUGUGUUACUGGGUCAAGUCAACACCUUGA
Molecule: long non-coding RNA, 1110 nt
Filed under: Oncorhynchus mykiss (rainbow trout)
Lineage: Eukaryota; Metazoa; Chordata; Actinopteri; Salmoniformes; Salmonidae
Description: lncRNA (ENSOMYG00000074824.1)
Source: RNAcentral